UCUGCUCUGAGCUACCACUACAAGUGGUCUGCUUCGAAUUUCCACUACGAGCGGUCCUCGUUGGAUUUUUACUGUAAGCCUCCACCUGAGCUUCUAUUGUGAACGAACUCCUUUCGAACUUCUAUUGCAGGCAGGCUUCGACCGAGCUUCCUCAACAAAUGAUCCCCAUCCGGACUUCUACGGAGACCGAACUCCGACCGAAC
RNAcentral lists this long non-coding RNA (203 nucleotides) under Elaeis guineensis (African oil palm). RNAcentral's name for it is "long non-coding RNA (EGUI_LNC058492)". Lineage: Eukaryota; Viridiplantae; Streptophyta; Magnoliopsida; Arecales; Arecaceae. The record is from RNAcentral.